This is a long non-coding RNA of Populus euphratica (Euphrates poplar), 409 nucleotides long. RefSeq lists it as uncharacterized. The transcript has 2 exons. The record is from RefSeq and is a predicted model, not a curated record. NCBI's taxonomy places the organism in Eukaryota, Viridiplantae, Streptophyta, Magnoliopsida, Malpighiales, Salicaceae.
CUAUCCAUAGAUUUUUCACCAAUGUAAAUCAAUCUAAAAUCAGAUCCGGAGUAAAAUUGACAGCCGCAUCCGGAAGAGUGAGGAGAUAGAUAUCCAAGUAUCCAACAAUCAAUUGGGCCAAAGACAGGAACCUCGCUAACCGUCCGUCAGUGCUGUACGAGGCAGCGGUUGGUUGUAGUAGGGUCAAAAUCAAACAGCAAGACAGAGGGAUCAAUGAAACAUAACUAAGAAAACUGGGAAUCUAAGCACUAAACAGAGUAGAUUCUUGCAAAGCCAGCUCUAAAAGGGAAAUGGGUUUGACUAGCAGGCCUCUAUGUCAAUCCUCUGUGGCGUUCCAAUCCUUGAAUGCGUGUACUGCCUUGGCUGUGCUCGUUGGCUAUGGAAAAAAUGCCUAUACUCUGCUGGUCAU